RNAcentral lists this ribosomal RNA (532 nucleotides) under uncultured bacterium. RNAcentral describes it as "bacterial SSU rRNA". It matches the Rfam family "Bacterial small subunit ribosomal RNA", at positions 8 to 526 of the family's 1533-position model. The record is from RNAcentral.
AGAGUUUGAUCAUGGCUCAGGACGAACGCUGGCGGCGUGCUUAACACAUGCAAGUGGAGCGACGAACCAGGGCUUGCCCUGGGGCAGAGCCGCGAACGGGUGAGUAACACGUGGGUAACGUGCCCCAAUGAUCGGGACAACCCGGGGAAACCCGGGCUAAUACCGAAUGUGCUCCCCUCACACCAGUGAGGGAUGGAAAGGAAGCUUCGGCCUCCGCAUUGGGAUCGGCCCGCGGCCCAUUAGCUUGUUGGUGAGGUAACGGCUCACCAAGGCUGCGAUGGGUAGCUGGUCUGAGAGGACGAUUAGCCACACUGGGACUGAGACACGGCCCAGACUCCUACGGGAGGCAGCAGUGGGGAAUCUUGCGCAAUGCGCGAAAGCGUGACGCAGCAACGCCGCGUGGGGGAAGAAGGCCUUCGGGUUGUAAACCCCUUUCAGGAGGGACGAAGGUUGGGCGGUUAAUAGCCGACCCGACUGACGGUACCUCCAGAAGAAGCCCCGGCUAACUACGUGCCAGCAGCGGCGGUAAUAC